UACGGAGGGGACGAGCGUUAUCCGUCAUGACUGGGCGUAAAGUGUUCGUAGGUUGUUUUGGAAUUUUUUAGUACAUUACUUAAUGAAAAUUUUGAAAUGCUUUAAUUAAAUUCUUAAACUUGAAUAUAAAAGAAGUUAAUGGAAUUUCAUAUGUAGAGUUAAAAUGCUUAGACAUAUGAAGGAAUGCCAGAGGCAAAAGCGAUUUUCUAAUUUAUAUUGACACUGAGGAACGAAAGCAUGGGGAGCAAACAGGAUUAGAUA
Molecule: ribosomal RNA, 261 nt
Filed under: uncultured bacterium
Lineage: Bacteria
Description: partial 16S ribosomal RNA
Rfam family: Bacterial small subunit ribosomal RNA
Source: RNAcentral